AUGAGGAAACAGGCCGAGAGAACUUCCCUCUCUUGCCCAGUUGACACCAUCAAAAGUGAUGGACCAGGGACCAGGGCCACACCCUGCUGGGACUCCUGCUCCCCUGGCCACUGGGAGAGUUGAUCCUGGCUCCAGGCCCAGGUGCCCCAAGCAGACUAUGACCAUAACGUACUGGAACUUCAACCAAGGCCAAGGCCAAGGCCAGUGCUUGGUCUUCUUCCUGACAUUUUUUAUGUUGAAGUAGGGAAAUAGCCUUGGAUCUUAGGCACAAUUAUGUAUCGGACAUCCCAGAUUUGGGAAUUCCUUUCUCUCCUUUUCCCUCUCCUUCCCUGCAAGACACAGUGAUGAUGUGGCAUUUCUGCCCUCCAUGGGCCCAUGGGGCAGUAACAGGCAUGAAUAACAGCGGCUGACUGUUCCCGGCUGUGCCAAGCGCCUAUAUGUGCAUUUCAUGAAUCCUUCACAACGAUCCCAUGAAAUUGGUUCUAUUAUUAUCAGGCCUAAUUUGGGUGUGGGAUAACUUGCACACACAGGGAGAAAGGAACUGAAUGCUGGUGGUGUGACCAGGAAGGCCAUGCUCCCUACAGCCUGCCUGUGGCCUGUCACAUAAGGACAAGGGGAAGGCACAUCUGAGGCUGCCUUGGAGUCAGGAGGUUCCAUCUAGAAGACAAGGAGCAAGGUCUCAGGCUGCUGAGCCAGGGAAGGCUGUCCUGGCAGAGCAGGCAGGGAGGGGAGUGUGGGUGUGUUCAUGAAGUGAGGGACGUCAUGGUGGCCACUCAUCUUCAAGGUUUAUUGUCCCCUGAGGUCAUGGCACCAGACUGAGUGUCCAGCUUUAUCCUGCAGGAAUUUUAACACAAUCCAGCUCCUGAAGUCUGAGGGCGGUGCUGGACCACGGGGAGCGCACAGAGGAGUCCUUGUCCUAUCUGGAACACGGCCUGCUCCCGUGGCCACCUCUUCCAGCUCAGCAUGGCAGAGUGACCCCCGUGAGGCUUGGCAGAGCAGGCGGCAGGCAGGACAAGGCGCAAGCUGAGCCCAGCGGGAGACAGACUGCAGCUCACCCGCUGGCCUGCGCUGGCAGGGCUUCCAUUCUCAGAGAGUGGAAGGCGACGGGUGCAGCGUGGAACACGGGCAAGCUGGGGUUCCUCAUAGCUGGGGGUGCCCGACCCACCCAGCAGUGUGUAGGACGGCUUCUCAGAGGAGUCCCAAGAAACCCUGCAGGGGCCACGUGCGGCAGAGCGCUGAGCUGAAGAACAAAGGGCCUAGGUCUCUGGCCAGCGUCAAGCCCCCCUCAUCACACCCUGGCCAGACGUGACCAUGAGGUGAGGUGAGCUGGAGAAGCCCUCAGCGUCAAGGAUGUGCAGGUCCAAAGACGAGCUUCCCAGAUGCACCCAGGCCUGGGGGGACGGCAUGGGGCUGACGGGAGGGUUGCUGUGCAGAUCAGGGAGAGCGUGGGAAACCCUG
This 1458-nucleotide long non-coding RNA is filed under the name Marmota monax (woodchuck). Lineage: Eukaryota; Metazoa; Chordata; Mammalia; Rodentia; Sciuridae. The record is from RNAcentral.